CUCCGCCGGCGACCGGCGCACGGGUGAGUAACACGUAUGCAACCUGCCCCUGUCAGGGGACAACCCGCCGAAAGGCGGGCUAAACCCGCGUACAUGCCACCGGGGCAUCCCGGAGGCAGGAAAGGCUUCGGCCGGACAGGGAUGGGCAUGCGGCGCAUUAGGCAGUAGGCGGGGUAACGGCCCACCUAACCGACGAUGCGUAGGGGUUCUGAGAGGAAGGUCCCCCACACUGGUACUGAGACACGGACCAGACUCCUACGGGAGGCAGCAG
This 271-nucleotide ribosomal RNA is filed under the name uncultured bacterium. RNAcentral describes it as "partial 16S ribosomal RNA". It matches the Rfam family "Bacterial small subunit ribosomal RNA", at positions 83 to 354 of the family's 1533-position model. The record is from RNAcentral.